CAGUAAUGAAAGGUUGUACGCGCUGAUUGUUUUGGUUCUUCAUGGUUUCUAAGGUUUAAAGGCAUGAGGGUCCGCUACAGUAAGAGCUUCAUCUUCGCUGGUUCAGAUGCUCGCUGCACGUGCUGACUCACGGUUUCACCGUGACGAUGGUCAAUGGACUGCAGGACUUCGGAAUCGGCGUGAUGGUCUACGGAGCUGAGACACGAACAAGAAUCUGAAAGCCUGCUCCAGACGGGAACAGAAGGUACAAAAGAAAAGGAUAUAAAAGGUUUUGAAAGCAUGCCUCCUGCUUGUGAGACCACACCCACUCAUUCUUUUGUUCUAGCAGACAUCUGAGUGGAGCAGAACGUGUUGAUAGCUGGGGAAUGAAUUUGGCCAGGUGAGGAUUCAUUCGAGCUGCACUCUGUGGACUUGGAGCUGGAGGCCAUGGAGAAGCAGAUCCACAACCUAUAGAUGAAGCUAGCCCAGCUGUGAGAGCGGAACGCCGCGCUGGAAUCAUCCCGGAUUGACGCUCACCUGUCCCAGGUAAAUCUGUGGCGUGCAACAAACACUCCCACAACCUCAACUCCGUGUUCUUCUCUGCCCAGGCCCAACGCACCAAGGACGCGGCCCACCCAGGUUUCCUUCACUCUGGUGCCUGGGUACCACGCAGCCUGGAUGCAGCAGCAGCGGAAGACACGAGCCAAGCCCUGGGCGAGGACCUCUCCCCCUCCCCACCCGUUUUCGAGAUCUCAACCUGCAACCACUUCGCUCCCCUUUGCGAGACGGAGUGCGAUGUGGUGAUCAUCGGAGACUCCACACAUCCGUGCUACUGCGGCUAAAGGUAAGGUGCGCACUCGCUGUUUUCCUGGUACUCGUGUUGUUGAUGUCACUGCACAGGUACCCGCAAUCCUGAAUAAGAACAUCGGAGCUGUGGUCCUCCAUGCUGGCAUGAACGACAUCAGGCUGAGGCAGACGGAGAUCCUGAAGAAGGACUUCAGGAGCCGAUUCCGACUAAAAAAGCCAUCCCGAGGCAUACAGAGAUUGUGCCAGCUCCAGUGGCAUCCAGAGAUGGACCAGCUCCAGCCGGGUUCUGCUUUGUGAGGAUUCGGGUAUUCAAAGCAACACUGCCAACCUUAUGUGGACGACAACAACCUCCUUAUUAUUUUACAUAACAUUCUACACAUGCUGUAUCUGCAUCACACAAUUGACUAUACAUAAAUGCACAAAGGACAUUGUUCAUAUCACACUCUCUGGUGUUUACAAUAAUUUAUAAUCACACUCUCCACUGUCACGCAAAUGAGGAUGGGUUCCCUUUUGAGUCUGGUUCCUCUCAAGGUUUCUUCCUCAUACCAUCUAAGGGACUUUUUCCUUGCCACAGUCACCUCAGGCUUGCUCACUUGAGAUAACAUCUAGGACUGUUUGCCUGUUUAUAUGUUUGUUGUUUCUUAUGUAAAGCUGCUUUGAUGGAACGCUCUUUGUUAAAAGUGCUAUAAAAAUAAAAUUGAAUUGAUUUGAAUGUGCAUGUAAAGGCAGACGUCCCAAAACUUUUGGCUAUAAAGUCUAUAUUACUAUUUGCACAUACUGAACACUUGUA
Molecule: long non-coding RNA, 1576 nt
Organism: Hemibagrus wyckioides
Lineage: Eukaryota; Metazoa; Chordata; Actinopteri; Siluriformes; Bagridae
Exons: 5
Source: RefSeq, a predicted model, not a curated record